Molecule: long non-coding RNA, 3875 nt
Organism: Agrilus planipennis (emerald ash borer)
Lineage: Eukaryota; Metazoa; Arthropoda; Insecta; Coleoptera; Buprestidae
Exons: 5
Source: RefSeq, a predicted model, not a curated record
GUCAAACAAAAUGACAAGCAAAUUUUAAUGGGUGAAAUUACUAGUAAAUAAAUAAUUUUCCGAAAAAUAAUCAUGCUUGAAAAGCUAUGUAGUUCAAACAGAACAUUUCCGUGUAGGGCAAGCACAUUUUUGGAAUAAAAUAUAAGAUAUAAUUCAUCAGGAUCCAGGAUCUUGUACUUAUAAUUAGAUAAAAUCACUUACUAGUGAAGAAUUUUCCAAAUAGUAAUCAUACUGAAACAGCUGAGCUCAAGCAUCAUUCCUAUGUAUGACAACUAAAACUUUCCAAAAUACAUUGAGCUGUGUUUCAUACCAAAAUGGACUUUUCUUUUGAAAUCAACUAGCAAACAAAAAGCAAACGCCUACUGUAGCCCAAUAUUCAUGGAAAACUCACAUCACUUUCUCCUAUCACCUGAUUUCUCCUUAUUCUGUUUUCAUCUACGUUAAAAAAAAGAUGCGAUAAAACACAUCGGAAAAAUCUCGGAAAAACUACUUCCGAAAAGCUAAGGAUCCAAAUAGAGUAUUUUGUAUCAAUUUUCUAAAUAACAUUUGCCCACUUUACCAGAGGAGUUCCGGACCUGAUUGUUAUUCAUGGGUCCUUGAUGAAAGCCUCACAUUAUGUUGUGAUUCUUGCCAUUCAUUAGCCAUAAUUGGAAAACUACAAUCGGAUCUCAUUGACGAAUAACGGGUAAACGAUUGACCUUAAACUAGGUACCAACAAGAGUACUUUAAGGAUUAAUCCCGGCUUGCUCAAAGAAUUGUUAAAAAAGAUUUUGGUUUAGCUUGUAUGGCGUGGUUAAUGAAUAAAACAUCCUGCAGGACCUAACCACACGAUCGGAUGAUCGGCAGAUACCUGCCUGCCUAUCAAAUUUUGUUGUUUUGGAAAGAAACGAAACGUUUCAUACCUCGGAGCAUUAUCGGCAAGGAUCAGCGAAUUUGUUACGGCACAGGGAUGUAUUGCAAAGAGAGGGCCACGCUAAACCGUCACUGCUGUCAAUUUAAUAUAUGCAAGGCCCGCUAGAAUAUUAAAAUUCGAAGCGGGUAGGCCGUACUGCAGAGUCCGGCGCAUAUCUUUCUACAGUAGCGUGUAUAAUACGAGAAACGUCGCAGACGUGUAAUUAUAUAUUUAAAAUAACAAUGAUUAAAAGACGGUCUACCAAGUAAACGUUCGAUAUAAUUCAUGAAUGCAGAGAGACAGAUGAAUUAUUAAGCAGCAACAGCUCCACCUUUGAUCGCAUCGCGCUCUAGAGAGUUGAGCUGUCCCAAGUUAAAGCCGGCAUGUAUAUAUUUGCAACAAAGGACAGACAGACCGAACCGUGCGAUCGAAUGCAAUGCUGCACGACAACCCCACAACCACGCCCAGUGUUGCCAGAUGGAAAUCUCGAAAUUAACAUAAGGUGGAAUUUUAAGUACCUACCUCGCCGGUUUUUUUAAAAUACGCACGGCAUCAGCCUGCAACUUCGUCUUGUAUGUUGAUUUCAAGCAACUGAAACAACACAUACUAAAUAUCUCUUAUACCCAACCCAACCCGACCCGACCCAACCUUACGAUAUGCAGGUUUUAAAAGGACCGAACGUUUUCCGAUAUUUUUAGGUUUUCUGUGAAAAUUGCGAAUGAAAUCGAAAUUAAAUAAUACACAAUUCAAUACCGAUACUAUGCUUAAGGCUGUCAUGGUCACUGGAGCCGAAACCGUCACUAAUACGAAUCGAAACCUUGAAUAACAAUCUUAUAUGAGAAAGCCUUAAAAUUCUAUAAGUAAAAGAUUCAACACUGUUCCUUAACAACUAUCAAAAGUAACAAACACUUGGGGUGAUUUUUAACAGUACCAGAAAAUUUUGUUUAGUUCACAUGCUAAAAGCUGUGACCAAACCACUAGACCGCCCCACCCGGUACGGAUUUCCCAGUUUUCUAAUACUUUUUAUAGUACUGAUUACCACAGCUGUUCUAAGGAAUUUAGUACUUGUGGACUAGUAGCAAUAACGCAUAGUCCUUCAUAAGAAAAUAUUACGGAAUGAGAAGUAAGAGCUUUCGAGGUCACUGGAAAUAAAUGUGCCACCAAUACGUAACGAAACCUUGAAGGAUAAUACGCUAAUACUAAAUAUGGAACACUUAAAAGUCUAAAAAGAAAGGUCUCAGCAGUAGUCCUUAAUAACUAUCAAAUGUAAGAAUCACUUGAGCUGCUUUCUAACACUUUCCCAAUAUUUAUUUAGUUCAGAUGCUAAAAGCUGUGAUCAAACAACUAGACCGCCCCACCCGGUACGGAUUUCCCAGUUUUCUAAUACUUUUUAUAGUACUGAUUACCACAGCUGUUCUAAGGAAUUUAGUACUUGUGGACUAGUAGCAAUAACGCAUAGUCCUUCAUAAGAAAAUACUACGGGAUGAGAAGUAAGAGCUUUCGAGGUCACUGGAAAUAAAAGUGCCACCAAUACGUAACGAAACCUUGAAGGAUAAUACGCUAAUACUAAAUAUGGAACACUUAAAAGUCUAAAAAGAAAGGUCUCAGCAGUAGUCCUUAAUAAUUAUCAAAUGUAACAAGCACUUGAGCUGCUUUCCAACACAUUCCAAAUAUAUAUUCUAAAAGUAAAGGGUUCAAUACUGUUCCUUAACAACUAUGAAAAGUAACAAACACUUGGGGUGCUUUUUAACAGUACCACAAAAAUUUAUUUAGUUCGCAUGCUAAAAGCUGUGAUCAAAUCACUAGACCGUUCCGCCUGGUACAGACUUAUUCGUUUCCUAAACUUUUUAUAGCACUAAUGACUAAGAGAUUUGGCGCUUGUAAACUAGUAACAAUAACGCAUGGUUCUUCGUUAGAAAAUAUACAGAAUGAGAAAUGUGAGCUUUCAUCAGUUCUGGAUCUAAAGGCGUCAUUAAUACACAACGAAACCAUGAGGAAUAUUGCGCUAAUCUUGUAUGAGAACGCUUCACAAUCUAAGAAGAAACAAGAAACUAAUACUUGAUGUGCUUUUUAACAGUCUCAGAAAAUUGUACUUAGUCUAAUUGCUAAAAGCUGUGAUAAACCACUAGACCGCCCCGCUCGUUACAGAUUUAUUUGUUUUCUAAAAACUUUUGUAAUACUGAUUAUCAUAGCUGUUCUAAGAAAUUUGACGAUUGUGGACUAAUUACAAUCUAGCUCAUCAUAAGAAAAUAUACGGGGUAAGAAACAGGGAGCUUUUGUGGUCACUAGAACUAAAAGCGCUACCACUUCGAAACGAAACCUUGAAGGAUAAUAUCCUUCUCUUGUAUAUAAAACGUCUUUAAAGUUGAAAAAGGAAUGUUUCAGCAUUUUUGCUUAACGACUAUGAAAAGUAACAAACACUUGAUGUGAUUUUCAGCACUUUCUGAAAAUUUGAUUCAGUUCGAAUGCUAAAAGCUGUAAAAAAAAACUAGAUCGCCCUGCUCGUUACAGAUUUAUUUGUUUUCUAAAAACUUUUGUAAUACUGAUUAUCAUAGCUGUUCUAAGAAAUUUGACGAUUGUGGACUAAUUACAAUAACCCCUAGCUUAUCAUAAGAAAAUAUACGGGGUUAGAAACAGGGAGCUUUCGUGGUCACUAGAACUAAAAGCGCUACCAAUUCGAAACGAAACCUUGAAGGAUGCUAUAUCCUUCUCCUGUAUAUAGAACGCCUUUAAAGUUCAAAGGUUUCAACAUUUUCUCCGAAAGACCAUGAAAUUUUCGGCAGUUUCUGAAAAUUUGAUUCAGUUCAAAUGCUAAAAGCUGUGACAAAUCACCUAGACCGCUCCUCCAGUAACAAUAAGAAAAUACACAGGAUAUGAAGUGGGAGAGGGAUGUGAACAUCAGUGAAGUAUUGCAGUAGCUUUAGAAUUUAAAAAAGUCAAUGUAUUAUUACCAAUGAGCAAAUAAAGACAUAAAGGUCAUACG